GACGAACGCUGGCGGCGUGCUUAACACAUGCAAGUCGAACGGAAAGGCCCUGCUUUUGUGGGGUGCUCGAGUGGCGAACGGGUGAGUAACACGUGAGUAACCUGCCCUUGACUUUGGGAUAACUUCAGGAAACUGGGGCUAAUACCGGAUAGGAGCUCCUGCUGCAUGGUGGGGGUUGGAAAGUUUCGGCGGUUGGGGAUGGACUCGCGGCUUAUCAGCUUGUUGGUGGGGUAGUGGCUUACCAAGGCUUUGACGGGUAGCCGGCCUGAGAGGGUGACCGGCCACAUUGGGACUGAGAGACGGCCCAGACUCGUACGGGAGGCAGCAGUGGGGAAUAUUGCACAAUGGGCGGAAGCCUGAUGCAGCAACGCCGCGUGCGGGAUGACGGCCUUCGGGUUGGAAACCGCGUUCGCCUGUGACGAAGCGUGAGUGACGGUAAUGGGUAAAGAAGCACCGGCUAACUACGUG
This 468-nucleotide ribosomal RNA is filed under the name uncultured bacterium. RNAcentral describes it as "partial 16S ribosomal RNA". It matches the Rfam family "Bacterial small subunit ribosomal RNA", at positions 28 to 507 of the family's 1533-position model. The record is from RNAcentral.